GUCAGGAGAUGGACUGUACUAACAGAUUAAACACUUAGUCCACUUAUCAUUGACAUAAACCAAUAACAAUAUAAUCUCUUAUUUGCAGAAAAAAUGCAGGGGAUGAGGUUGGUAAUCUGUGCAAGCAGAAAGAUGCAACAACGGGAGAGCUAUAUGUUGAAACUAAAGGGACUUGAAGAGGAACUUUCACAAAAAUGGAGUUCAAAACCUUUUGAUUACAACCCUAAAAAGCAGCCGCCUACCACUCUCUCCACAAGAAAAAAAUAGAGAUAAAGCCAUUCAAAAAGAAAGCUACCUACACAGAGGCUGCUAAAGUUCUAAAAAUGGAUCCUUCCAUAAGAACCUCUUCAAGUCUACAAAGGUUAGGAGAAGGCCAAGCAAUGCAUAUCAAAAGGUUAUGAAUUCUCAUAAGGAAGAGAAGCAAUUCAUACCAUAAAUUAAGGGAAAAAUUGCAUUGGAAACAGGUUUAAUACCAAAAAAAUUGCUUAGCAAGAAAGAUAUAUUUAGAUAUUAAGCUGUCUCCUCUCUCUCUCUGUCUCUCUCUCUGUCUCUCUUGUAUUCUAUCUCUCUCAAUAUCUC
Long non-coding RNA from Salvia splendens (bonfire salvia), 579 nucleotides. RefSeq lists it as uncharacterized. NCBI's taxonomy places the organism in Eukaryota, Viridiplantae, Streptophyta, Magnoliopsida, Lamiales, Lamiaceae. The transcript has 4 exons. The record is from RefSeq and is a predicted model, not a curated record.